GCGCGACAGGAUGUGGCUGCGGCCGAUUAGGUAGACGGUGGGGUAACGGCCCACCGUGCCAGUAAUCGGUACGGGUUGUGAGAGCAAGAGCCCGGAGACGGUAUCUGAGACAAGAUACCGGGCCCUACGGGGCGCAGCAGGCGCGAAACCUUUACACUGCACGCCAGUGCGAUAAGGGGACUCCAAGUGCGAGGGCAUAGCGCCCUCGCUUUUCUGAACCGUAAGGUGGUUCAGGAACAAGUGCUGGGCAAGACCGGUGCCAGCCGCCGCGGUAAUACCGGCAGCACGAGUGAUGGCCGCUGUUAUUGGGCCUAAAGCGUCCGUAGCUGGCCAAGCAAGUCUAUCGGGAAAUCUCCCCGCCUAACGGGGAGGCGUCCGGUGGAAACUGCCUGGCUUGGGACCGGAAGACCNNAAGGGUACGUCCGGGGUAGGAGUGAAAUCCCGUAAUCCUGGACGGACCACCGGUGGCGAAAGCGCUUNGGNAAGACGGAUCCGACGGUGAGGGACGAAAGCUCGGGUCACGAACCGGAUUAGAUACCCGGGUAGUCCGAGCUGUAAACGAUGUCUGCUAGGUGCGCCACAGGCUACGAGCCUGUGGUGUGCCGUAGGGAAGCCGUGAAGCAGACCGCCUGGGAAGUACGUCCGCAAGGAUGAAACUUAAAGGAAUUGGCGGGGGAGCACUACAACCGGAGGAGCCUGCGGUUUAAUUGGACUCAACGCCGGACAUCUCACCAGCAUCGACAGUAGGAGUGACGGUCAGUGUGAUGAGCUUACCAGACCUACUGAGAGGAGGUGCAUGGCCGCCGUCAGCUCGUACCGUGAGGCGUCCUGUUAAGUCAGGCAACGAGCGAGACCCGCACUCCUAAUUGCCAGCAACACCCUUGUGGUGGUUGGGUACAUUAGGAGGACUGCCAGUGCCAAACUGGAGGAAGGAACGGGCAACGGUAGGUCAGUAUGCCCCGAAUG
This 966-nucleotide ribosomal RNA is filed under the name Natronococcus jeotgali. Its description in RNAcentral is "bacterial SSU rRNA". It matches the Rfam family "Archaeal small subunit ribosomal RNA", at positions 199 to 1162 of the family's 1478-position model. Lineage: Archaea; Methanobacteriati; Methanobacteriota; Halobacteria; Halobacteriales; Natrialbaceae. The record is from RNAcentral.